This 468-nucleotide ribosomal RNA is filed under the name uncultured bacterium. RNAcentral describes it as "partial 16S ribosomal RNA". It matches the Rfam family "Bacterial small subunit ribosomal RNA", at positions 28 to 507 of the family's 1533-position model. The record is from RNAcentral.
GACGAACGCUGGCGGCGUGCUUAACACAUGCAAGUCGAACGGAAAGGCCCUGCUUUUGCGGGGUGCUCGAGUGGCGAACGGGUGAGUAACACGUGAGUAACCUGCCCUUGACUUUGGGAUAACUUCAGGAAACUGGGGCUAAUACCGGAUAGGAGCUCCUGCUGCAUGGUGGGGGUUGGAAAGUUUCGGCGGUUGGGGAUGGACUCACGGCUUAUCAGCUUGUUGGUGGGGUAGUGGCUUACCAAGGCUUUGACGGGUAGCCGGCCUGAGAGGGUGACCGGCCACAUUGGGACUGAGAUACGGCCCAGACUCCUACGGGAGGCAGCAGUGGGGAAUAUUGCACAAUGGGCGGAAGCCUGAUGCAGCAACGCCGCGUGCGGGAUGACGGCCUUCGGGUUGUAAACCGCUUUCGCCUGUGACGAAGCGUGAGUGACGGUAAUGGGUAAAGAAGCACCGGCUAACUACGUG